This is a long non-coding RNA of Helianthus annuus (common sunflower), 462 nucleotides long. RefSeq lists it as uncharacterized. Lineage: Eukaryota; Viridiplantae; Streptophyta; Magnoliopsida; Asterales; Asteraceae. The transcript is spliced from 4 exons. The record is from RefSeq and is a predicted model, not a curated record.
UUCUUCACUUCCAAUCGUUCAUCACCGAAAUCAGUGUUCGCUUCACGGUUGAAGCAUACAAUCACCACCAUUUAGCCUCCGGUCACAGGAAACCAUCGCAGGUUGCCGUUUGUUAAUAAGGGUGUGAACCAAUAAUCUUUACUUCUUCCUCAGAUCUUAUCAAGGUGAAUAAUGAUUCGAAUGAUAGUGUUUUGAAGUUAAUGUUACAUGGAGACCAAGUAUUCGAUGAAAUGUCUUAAUGACAAAAUCGAAAUGAUCAGUUUGGAAUGAUCAUGAAUUUUGAGCAUGAGAUCCCAUCUUCUUCAGAGCUUGAUUGUAAUUUGUCAGUUUGAAGAAUGGUUGAUAAGAAGGUUAGUUUUAGCUCUUUUUUCUAUUCAUUAAUUUGCUAAUAUAGCUAUUGCUGCUACUUUCUAAAUAUUGUAUGAAAAAAUAUUAAAUUUACAUGAUGAUGUAUGAAAUUUA